This 487-nucleotide ribosomal RNA is filed under the name uncultured bacterium. RNAcentral's name for it is "bacterial SSU rRNA". It matches the Rfam family "Bacterial small subunit ribosomal RNA", at positions 30 to 507 of the family's 1533-position model. The record is from RNAcentral.
AUUGAACGCUGGCGGCAUGCCUAACACAUGCAAGUCGAACGGCAGCACGGGAGCUUGCUCCUGGUGGCGAGUGGCGGACGGGUGAGUAAUGCAUAGGAAUCUGCCCAGUAGUGGGGGACAACUUGGGGAAACUCAAGCUAAUACCGCAUGCGCCCUACGGGGGAAAGCGGGGGACCUUCGGGCCUCGCACUAUUGGAUGAGCCUAUGUCAGAUUAGCUUGUUGGUGGGGUAACGGCCUACCAAGGCGACGAUCUGUAGCUGGUCUGAGAGGACGAUCAGUCACACUGGGACUGAGACACGGCCCAGACUCCUACGGGAGGCAGCAGUGGGGAAUAUUGCACAAUGGGCGAAAGCCUGAUGCAGCAAUGCCGCGUGUGUGAAGAAGGCCUGCGGGUUGUAAAGCACUUUCAGUAGGGAGGAAACAGUAGCCGGUUAAUAUCCGGUUGCCUUGACGUUACCUACAGAAGAAGCACCGGCUAACUCUGUG